AACCUGGUUGAUCUUGCCAGUAGUCAUAUGCUUGUCUUAAAGAUUAAGCCAUGCAAGUGAAAGUACACAUGUAUAAUAAUAUAUCGAAACUGCGAACGGCUCAUUAAAACAGUUAUAAUCUACUUGACAUUUAUAUUAUAAGGAUAACUACGGAAAAGCUGUAGCUAAUACUUGUAAAAAUAUCUUAUGAUAUGUAUAUAUAUAUAUAUGUAUGUAUCAUUAAGAUAUGUAUUUGUUAGAUGUAAGAAGUAAAUAAAAUAAAUAUAAAUUGAAUUAUAACAAAGAAAGAACACGUAUACGUACGUGAUUAUCAAUCGAGUAUCUGACCUAUCAGCUUUUGAUGUUAGGGUAUUGACCUAACAUGGCUAUGACGGGUAACGGGGAAUUAGAGUUCGAUUCCGGAGAGGGAGCCUGAGAAAUAGCUACCACAUCUAAGGAAGGCAGCAGGCGCGUAAAUUACCCAAUUCUGAAGAAGAGAGGUAGUGACAAGAAAUAACAAUACAUUAUCGAAGAAUGAUUUUGUAAUUGGAAUGAUAGGGAAUUAUAACAUUUCUAGAGAAACAAUUGGAGGGAAAGUCUGGUGCCAGCAGCCGCGGUAAUUCCAGCUCCAAUAGCAUAUAUUAAAAUUGUUGCAGUUAAAACGUUCGUAGUUGAAUAUUAAAGAAUCCGAUGUUUCAUUUAAACUGGUUUUGGGAAACUACAUAUAUAUAUUUAUAUAUAUAUUGUUUAAUAAGUUUCCCGUAUAAAAUUAUGUUUUUAUCAGAUAUGACAGAGUCUUUUUUAAAAUCUGUUCAUUUUGCUUUUAUUGCUUUUUGAGAGAUUUUGUUACUUUGAGUAAAAUUAAGUGUUCAUAACAGACGGCUAUACUUUGAUUGAGGUGUUCAGGGUGUUUGAAUACUACAGCAUGGAAUAACAAAUAUGAAUAAGCUAAUUUAAUUUUUUAUUAUUUUUUUUUGAUAUUCUUAUUAGCUUAGUUACGGUUAAUAGGAGUAGUUUUGGGGGCAUUCGUAUUCAGAUGUCAGAGGUGAAAUUCUAAGAUUUUCUGGAGACGAACUACUGCGAAAGCAUUUGCCUAAUCUAUUUCCAUUAAUCAAGAACGAAAGUUAAGGGAGUGAAGACGAUCAGAUACCGUCGUAAUCUUAACCAUAAACUAUACCGACUAGGUGUUGGAUGAAUAUAAAAAAUAUAUAUAAAAUUUUGAUAUUUCUUAGGGAUUAUUGAUUUUAUAUAUUAGAUUGCUUCCUUCAGUACCUUAUGAGAAAUCAAAGUCUUUGGGUUCUGGGGCGAGUAUUCGCGCAAGCGAGAAAGUUAAAAGAAUUGACGGAAGGGCACCACCAGGCGUGGAGCUUGCGGCUUAAUUUGACUCAACACGGGAAAACUCACUAGUUUAAGACAAGAGUAGGAUUGACAGAUUAAUAGCUCUUUCUUGAUUUCUUGGAUGGUGAUGCAUGGCCGUUUUUAGUUCGUGAAUAUGAUUUGUCUGGUUAAUUCCGAUAACGAACGAGAUCUUAACCUGCUAAUUAGCGGCAAGUACGCCAUAUUUUUAUUUGAAAUUGAUUUUAGGUAAAAUUAAUAAUAAUUAUUUUAGGUGUACAAAUUAGGAUAUUUUUAUUAAAAUAUCCUUUUCCCUGUUCUACUAAUAUUUUAUUUUUUUUUACUCUAUUUCUUUGUUCUUUUAAGAAUGUACUUGUUUGAUUGAAAAAGCUUCUUAGAGGAACAUUGUGUAUCUAACACAAGGAAGUUUAAGGCAACAACAGGUCUGUGAUGUCCUUAGAUAAACUAGGCUGCACGCGUGCUACAAUGAUAUAUAUAACAAGUUGUUAAAAAUAUACAUAUAUAUAUUUGUAUCUUGUGAUACUUAGUAAAUAAUUUUGUAUAUUUUUUCCUUUACUGAAAAGUAUAGGUAAUCCAAUCAAUAUAUAUCGUGAUGGGGAUAGAUUAUUGCAAUUAUUAAUCUUGAACGAGGAAUGCCUAGUAAGCAUGAUUCAUCAGAUUGUGCUGACUACGUCCCUGCCCUUUGUACACACCGCCCGUCGCUCCUACCGAUUGAAAGAUAUGAUGAAUUGUUUGGACAAGAAAAGUUGGAAUUAUAUUCCUUUUUUUCUGGAAAAACCGUAAAUCCUAUCUUUUAAAGGAAGGAGAAGUCGUAACAAGGUUUCCGUAGGUGAACCUGCGGAAGGAUCAUUA
This 2187-nucleotide ribosomal RNA is filed under the name Plasmodium gaboni. RNAcentral's name for it is "SSU rRNA". It matches the Rfam family "Eukaryotic small subunit ribosomal RNA". The record is from RNAcentral. Lineage: Eukaryota; Apicomplexa; Aconoidasida; Haemosporida; Plasmodiidae.